GGAAUGGAUAAGCGCUGAAAGCAUCUAAGCGCGAAGCCAACUUCAAGAUAAGAUUUCCCACCGCAAGGGUAAGACCCCAGAAAGACUAUCUGGUUGAUAGGUCGAAGGUGUAAGUGCAGCAAUGUAUUUAGCUUAUCGAUACUAAUAGGUCGAGGACUUGACCAAU
Molecule: ribosomal RNA, 166 nt
Filed under: Clostridioides difficile
Lineage: Bacteria; Bacillati; Bacillota; Clostridia; Peptostreptococcales; Peptostreptococcaceae
Description: partial 23S ribosomal RNA
Rfam family: Bacterial large subunit ribosomal RNA
Source: RNAcentral